GCCUCCAGCGCAAGCCGCCAACCGGCGCGACCUCGCUCGGCUCCCCGCCCUCGCAGGCGACGACGAAGACCAGGUCGCCUUGCGCCUCCAGUCCCAGCUCAUGCUCGCGCAAGCCCGCGGAGGACGGGAGUUCGAGAUGCUACCUAGGGUUGCGCCGUCUCCGGCCACCGCCACCGCCGCAGCGGUUGGACAGCUCUCUAGGGCGGGGCUCACUGCCAGUUUGGUGAGGUUGCCAAGGGGGCUUCCGUCUGUGGCAGGGUCGACGGUCGGCUGCAGGGCCGCGGCAAAGGGGCAGGAGGUGCUCAGCGGGGUGAUGUUCUAGUCAUUUGAGGAGCUUAAGGGGGAGCUCUCCCUCGUGCUGGAGGGCAAGGACCAGUCACUCGCCAGGCACAAGUUCGUCGAUGAGUGCGAGGCCCUCAACGAGCAGGAGCAUACCAAGUUAGUGUUGCUCCGCUUAGUAAGAAUAAAAUUAAUCCUUCUUCUCUUGUGUGUGUUUUUCUGACGAAUCAUGCAGGUAUUUUACUAAUAUUUCUGAAUACAUACUGUAAAAUUAUUUCAAACUGCCACCAGAGACUGUUUCUGCUAUUAUUUCAAUACGAAAUAGAUGCAAAUGUCGAUUUAAUCUUUAAAAUUGCCAUUGCAGUGUGGAGUACAGCGGCCGAUGUCUAAUCUCCUGCCGUUUGGGAGCUGCUGAUUGCUACUACUGGUUCAUUUUUAGGACAGAAAAUGGUUCAGUGGUUGAAACACUGGCGGGUUUCGAAACAGUCAGGACAGUGGGCUGCAAAGUCCAGAUACAAGUGGGCUGCAAACUUCCAUCUUCUGCCCAGUAAAGAGAGUAGGGGCUCCUCUUUGAUUAAAAGGUUUCCAUAGCAAAUGCAUUUGGAUUGAGUUCAGUUUACGAGGCUGUUAGAUGGAAGGUACCCCAUCCUUUUGCUGCUUGUUGGAGGGAAGUAAUUACAACAAUGACUCAGAUGUUGGAUGUCGGUGAUACUUCAGCUCCAAUACAAUUCCAGCCACUCAUCAUCAGCUUCUAGGGUGGAAUGUGCUAUUGCUACACAUAUGGAUAAUUUGACAUGGUAGAGUGAGUGAUUGACGGAGGAAACAUAAGGAGAGAGUCAAAAGACCAGUUGAGCAGAGUGGGUGAUUGACGGAGGAACCAUGAGGAGAGAGUCAAAAGGCCAGUUGAGCAGGCAUUGAGGGCAUGUUGAGAUCAUUUCUUGGUGCAUUUUGUAUCAUUCUAGCCCGUUAAACUUCAAUCCUUCACAAUGUAGUUGUCAUUAUGCAGAAUCUAAGACUGAAGAAAUCGCACUGCUGAUAAUUUAGAUCUCACCCUUGUAAAUAAAGUUGAAUGGGCUGGUAACAUAGUUCUAAAAUUUCAUUAACUCAAAGUAGGCGGUGUUCUUUUUGAAUGGUCUUCUUUCUUCCUCGUAUGUCAAAUGCAAGCAAGCAUGCCUCUGCCGAGGCUUAGAAAUAUCAAGGCGUAUGUGUCCAGGUCACUUUUAUAUACUAAGCAAUACCUUUUCUUCUUUUUGAAUGCACAGACCUGAAAGAGUUCUGUUAUUUUACCCUUUUUUUGUGUAGAUUUCUUCUCACCCAGCAGCUUCUAGAAAGUAGAGUAUAUCGCAACUUCCGAAACUUAUUAAAGAUGAUGGUUCUGAUGUUAAUAUCCAGGAUGAUGCGUUAAGCUCUUUUGAUAAUUUAUCAGAAGAAGAAAGAGCAGAAGAAAAUGGAGGAUCCUAAAAUGACUCAAAUAGAACUAAGAAAUAUCUAUGCCACAAAGCUAGGUAUAUUCAAGGAAAUAAUACGAAGCAUUAUAUUUUGUUUAUAUGCGUAAGUAUACUGACAUGCCGGUAAGCGAUAAUGGUAUUGUUGAACAGUGAACGCAAAUCCAUUUUUUUAGAACAAUCUGUAUGCAUGAGUUGAGCUGGUAUCUAGCUAUGCUAUUUUUAUGCAAGGUGCCGAAGUUCAAUAGCAUUCAUGAUAAUCCCCAACUUUAGUAUCCAGCAAAAGAGGAGGAUAUUUUUGGUGCUACUUAUGGCCGUACUAGCAGAAUAAAUGAUGUAUGCCAUCUAUUAUGACUUGUUCAUCUUGUCUACUGUUACAGCAAUGGGUUAAUUUGCUGGUUUUCCCCUGUUCGUUACAUUCUUUAUUGCUCUACUUAAUGGAAAGCUGUUAAAACUAAAAAAUGGUAACCUGUAGUUACUGGGCACAAUGGAUUUGGUACAACACUGGAUCUAUUUUAUUAAUCCAUCAGAAUAAGCAGAACAGACCCCAUGGCAAUUAAAAUGGUGGUUCAGAAUAUAGAGCGACUUAUAUUAUCUGCAUAUAGAAUAGUUUAUUGUAGGCUACACAGAGCAUCGGUUCAGCACAUCUAACAUUUGUUGUUACUAGGAAUGCAUACAGUUAGUUAGUUACUAUUAACUUAUAUAUACUCACAAUGGCCUCAUCUCACAAAAUUGCAUGUGUUGUACUAAAGGCAUCUGAAGUAAUUCUUUUAGAAGGUCCAUGACAAGAGGUGAAUGGUAUAUUGGUAUUGUACAGAGUCUUCAAUCCAAAGGUAUAAAAUUAAUGCAGUGCCAUAAAAAUUUCUACUUGCUAUGGUGCAGUUUCGACUAUGUCAAUAACGUGCGGGUGUACAUCAUUUACAUUGGUCUAUCAUACAAAAAUGCAGGCUAAUGCUUGCUGGAUAUAGGGACUACUGCAACCCACAUGUAUUACAUUUUAGAUGUCGUUUGUAAUAUCUUUUCUUUUCUGCAAUUCUUAGAACGCUGGAUUUAUCCAACUCCAUUAUGUAUAAAUUAAUUCCUUACUUACACCCUGCAUUCAGAAAUUAUAUUCUAUAGUUACUUAGAAAGAGUAUAUACAUCACCAACUCAUUUUCAGUUGGACAUUUCAUUUUUCAGAAUCACUGUUUGUUUAAUAAUGCUGCAGGUUUUCCUUUGACAGAUUCCAGUUGGUGUCACAGAGGAUAUAUGCUCAUUGGAUUUGUUGAUGUUGAAGCAUCAGCGAGAACACAUGAAUGAGGAAUGAGGGUUCUUAUGAGAUCACAAGAAUGAGCGAAGUAUGAAGAUCGGGCCUCAAAAUUUCAGUACUACUAUCAUUAUCUCGGAUCACAUGAUGUUGGUUGUUGUUAUUAUACAUGCCCUUUUGUGGUCCAUGAGGGAUACAACUAUGUUGGCCCUUAGGAUUGAGGAUUUCAAAUCCGGCUAUAUCAAUAGGAUUGUGCAGAUUAUUUCGAAAGAAACAGUGGUUGCUAUGGUUUGUAUAUUCAAAAGGAAAUGUAUCUGUUUAAGGCAGUGAGGUAUGUCCCAUGUUUACUCAUACACACAUCUCUUGAACUUCCUGCUGGCAAUACAUUAUUUGAUGUCAUCUCUGCUUAUUAUUAUUAUUAUUAUUAUUAUUAUUAUUAUUCUGGUUGCUAUAUUGGUUCUAUUUAUCUCUAUUAUUAAAAGUACAUGUUGCAGUAUCUUUUGGCUAUACCUUAAGGAAGAAAUAUUUUGACAUUUGUAGCUUCUAAAUGUAUUGUAGCACAUGUGGAUAACUUCUUGAUUAUCAUAAACAAAUGUGAUGAUGCAGGUCUACAAACAGAUCUAAACAAAGCACUAGAAAAUAUGUUUGCGUGCGAUGACCAUAUAAAUAAAUACAAUCUAUCUCCAGUCUGAGUAAUAGUGCUCAGACACGUCAAAAUCUAUAUUUUAGAUUAGUGCUACAUAUUGUCGUCUUAGUGGUACCUUCAAUUUUUUUUCAAUCAUUGACAUGUCCUUUUCCUCUUUCUACGUAGAAUAUGGUGAUGUACAAAGCACUUAUACAACUGGAGCAUGGCCUAUCAUGGUAAGCAAACUGUUCUGCGCUCCAUUUUAUUCAUGCAAUUACUUUUUGAAGCAUUAUAUAUUGUUUCCUACAUCUAAACUUUUAUCAUAUACUCCCUCCGUCUGAAAAAGUUUGUCCCAAACUUGUCCUUCAAAUGGAUGUAUCUAGCACUAACUUGGUGCUAGAUACAUCCAUUUGAGAGACAAGUUUUUCGGACGGAGGGACCUCCAUCCCGAAUUACUUGUCGUAGAAAUGGAAAAAAAUGAAUGUAUAUAGAACUAAAUACGUCUAGAUACAUCCAUUUAUACGGCACGUAAUUUCGGACGGAGGGACUAUAUAUGCAAGCAAGCAGGUGGAUGAGGAGGCCAAACCAUCCAUGAGGGCGUCGACAUCAUCUCGCCCCUUGCCUUGUGGGGCGGAGGACGAGGAGGCGGAGCAGUCCAGAGCGCCGUCCUCCUCCUCCUCACCUUCGAGUGAAAGCGGAGGACGAGGAGGCCAUGCUAGCGUUAUACGUAGAUCUUUUUGCAAUUAGUGUAGUAUGUGCUUGCUUGACUGAAUAUCAGUAUGCGUUUAUUUGUGUCAAUGUCAUGCUAGUGAUUUACUCAUGGAUUAAUUUAGUCGACAAAUUGCCUAUUUACUCAAAAAUUCAAAAACCUAUUAUGUGUAUGAAUUUUUCGGCAAGUGGCUUUGCCGCUGCACUGAAACCGGAUAAGUUUACCGGUACGUAUUUUAAGCGUUGGCAGACUAAGACCACUUUAUGGCUCACGGCUACGAACGUGUUCUGGGUCACCGGUGUCUCCACAGGAACGAUUGCUCCUGAACAGGAGAAGGCGUUCAAGGAGGCCACCGUUGUGUUCCUCGGAGCAGUUCUUAGCGUGAUCGGAGAUAAACUGGUUGACGCAUAUUUACAUGUGAAUGUCGCCAAGGACUUGUGGGAGGCGCUCGAAUCUAAGUUCGGGACCGUCGAUGCUGGGAGCGAGAUGUACUCCCUCCGUCCCAAAAUUCUUGUCUUACAUUCGUCUAGAUACGGAUGUAUCUAAUACUAAAACAUGACUUGAUACAUCCGCAUUUAGAGAAAUCUAAGACAAGAAUUUUGGGACGGAGGGAGUAUAUUAUAGAGCAGUUCCAUGAUUACAAGAUGGUUGAAAACUGUCCUGUAUUGGAGCAGACUCAUGAGAUAAUAUGCAUUGUUAAGGAGCUUGAGCUUCUUAAGUGCGAUUACCGGGCAAGUUUGUCGCGGGCUGCAUAAUCGCUAAGCUCCCUAAUUCCUGGAGGAACUUUGCCACCACUCUGAAACAUCAGAGGUGUGGAUUCUCUGUGGAGGAUGUCAUUGGCCAUCUGAGUGUUGAGCAGAAUUUGAGGGCAAAAGACUCGCACGGAAAGGGGGCUGAAGGGACUUCUGUCGCCAAUAUGGUGAACCAGAAGAAUUUCAACUCCCACAAGCCCAAGGGAAAGAACGGUGUCCAACAUAAUACCGACUUUAAGAAGAAGGGUAAGAAGACCUUCAAGAAGAAUAAGAAGGAUGAGGGCUGCUUUACUUGUGGUUCGGUUGAACAUUGGGUCAACAAGUGCCCAAACAAGUACAAGAAGCCAGGACAGGACUCCAAGUCUGUCAACAUGAUUGUGGGCAACAAUGAGAAUGGUGCAUCUGGGUCACAGGCCACGGGUCCGUAUUGAUGGGGAAUGGCGCGAGUGCUUAUGUUCAUGGUGUUGGCACAGUCGAUCUGAAGUUUACUUCGGGAAGGAUCGUGCAGCUGAAGAACGUGCAGCAUGUCCCCGC
Molecule: non-coding RNA, 5590 nt
Organism: Triticum urartu
Lineage: Eukaryota; Viridiplantae; Streptophyta; Magnoliopsida; Poales; Poaceae
Source: RefSeq, a predicted model, not a curated record